RNAcentral lists this ribosomal RNA (481 nucleotides) under uncultured bacterium. Its description in RNAcentral is "bacterial SSU rRNA". It matches the Rfam family "Bacterial small subunit ribosomal RNA", at positions 501 to 985 of the family's 1533-position model. The record is from RNAcentral.
CUACGUGCCAGCAGCCGCGGUAAUACGGAAGGUCCAGGCGUUAUUCGGAUUUAUUGGGUUUAAAGGGAGCGUAGGCGGAUUGUUAAGUCAGCGGUUAAAGGGUGUGGCUCAACCAUGCAUUGCCGUUGAAACUGGCGAUCUUGAGUGCAGACAGGGAUGCCGGAAUUCGUGGUGUAGCGGUGAAAUGCUUAGAUAUCACGAAGAACUCCGAUCGCGAAGGCAGGUGUCCGGGCUGCAACUGACGCUGAGGCUCGAAAGUGUGGGUAUCAAACAGGAUUAGAUACCCUGGUAGUCCACACAGUAAACGAUGUAUACUCGCGGUUUGCGAUAGACAGUAAGCCGCCAAGCGAAAGCAUUAAGUAUACCACCUGGGGAGUACGCCGGCAACGGUGAAACUCAAAGGAAUUGACGGGGGCCCGCACAAGCGGAGGAACAUGUGGUUUAAUUCGAUGAUACGCGAGGAACCUUACCCGGGCUUGAA